Molecule: unclassified non-coding RNA, 236 nt
Filed under: Russula sp.
Lineage: Eukaryota; Fungi; Basidiomycota; Agaricomycetes; Russulales; Russulaceae
Description: partial contains 5.8S ribosomal RNA, internal transcribed spacer 2, and large subunit ribosomal RNA
Rfam family: 5.8S ribosomal RNA (bases 1-52)
Source: RNAcentral
AACGCACAUUGCGCCCCUUGGUAUUCCGAGGGGCAUGCCUGUUCGAGCGUCAUUAUAACCCAUCACGCCUGGCGUGGUCUUGGGGUUCGCGUCCAGCGGCCCUCGAAAUCAGUGGCGGUGUCCGUUGGGCUCUGAGCGUAGUAAUUAUCCUCGCUUCUGGGCUCCCCGGGUGCUUGCCAUAACCCCAACUUUCUCAGGUUGACCUCGGAUCAGGUAGGGAUACCCGCUGAACUUAA